GUUACGAGAAUAAAACCUAAGUCAAAAUUGUUUGUUUUUCAAAGCUCUGUCCAAACAUGCCCAAUGGGGCCCGUGUCGCCAUUGGGGUUUUCGGGCUUGCCCCCGGUUGCACCUGCUUUCGGUCGGUCUGGGGAGGUGGGGCCGAUGCCGAUGAUUGGUUCGGGUGCCUAUUGGUAGUCGAAUUUUUCGCCCCGACGCCCUGUGGUGUCCCAGUUGUGGGAGGGGCGGCUGGCGCGGGUGCUCAGAAAGACCCGGUAUGUAAUAAGAAAUUGAUCCAAUUGUGAAAUAUAUUACAAAAUACAGUAUUUUAUUUCA
RNAcentral lists this long non-coding RNA (315 nucleotides) under Androctonus crassicauda. Lineage: Eukaryota; Metazoa; Arthropoda; Arachnida; Scorpiones; Buthidae. The record is from RNAcentral.